UACAGAACUGAAAAUUUCUUUGUCUAGGGC
RNAcentral lists this non-coding RNA (30 nucleotides) under Rattus norvegicus (Norway rat). Lineage: Eukaryota; Metazoa; Chordata; Mammalia; Rodentia; Muridae. The record is from RNAcentral.